GACGAACGCUGGCGGCGUGCCUAAUACAUGCAAGUAGAACGCAGUUGCGAACGGGUGAUUUACGCGUAGGUACCUGCCUCAUAGCGGGGGAUCACUAUUGGAAACGUUAGCUAAUACCCCAUCCUGUGAUAUGGUCCUGCGUUGUAUUAGGUAGUGGGUGAGGGAAAGGCUAACCAAGGCGACGAUACAUAGCCGACCUGGGGGGGGGGACCGGCCCACUGGGGCGUAGACACGGGCCAGACUUCUUCGGGAGGCAACAGUAGGGGAUCUUCGGCCAUGGACGGAAGUCUGACUGAGGAACGCCGGGUGAGGGAAGAAGGUUUUCGGAUCGUAAAGCUCUUUUGUGAGGGAAGCGGUAACUAAAGAGAAAGGAACGGCUAACUACGUGCCAGCAGCCGCGGUAAUAC
This 407-nucleotide ribosomal RNA is filed under the name uncultured bacterium. RNAcentral describes it as "partial 16S ribosomal RNA". It matches the Rfam family "Bacterial small subunit ribosomal RNA", at positions 28 to 526 of the family's 1533-position model. The record is from RNAcentral.